Molecule: long non-coding RNA, 997 nt
Organism: Oryzias melastigma (Indian medaka)
Lineage: Eukaryota; Metazoa; Chordata; Actinopteri; Beloniformes; Adrianichthyidae
Exons: 2
Source: RefSeq, a predicted model, not a curated record
UUUUUCCUGAAGUGAGAAGAGCACAAAAGGAUCUGAUGCUCACCUGAACACAGAUCUCUACAGAAUAUAAUAGAGGAGUUGACAUUUUCUGUACCUACAUCAACUAUUUACUAAUCUACAUUUAUAACAAUCAUUUCCAGUAUUCCCGUAGGCCUACAUAGAGCAAACUAAAGACAGAAAGUAGAAAAAUAGAAGUUCUUUUAAUGAUUAACGACCAACACUAUGAGGCGAACGAGCCUGACAGCCUGUAAUUCACAGACCAUUAACGCAGAAUAAUCAUUACUGGUUAGUUUAACCCUUCCGCUCUCCUUGGCUUAUUUACAUUAAAAGUGGAGUCAUCUGGACCCCAAAGAUAACGGAAGGGUUAAACAUCAACACGUUACAGACCACCUUCACCCUCGUGACCCCUCCCUCUCAGAAGGUCAAGUGAAAGCAGCGUUCCUCCCCAGCAAAGAUCGGGUCAUUCCUUUACCUGAAGCAGAUCCGUUUGAGCUUUGAUUCCCGCGCGGUCGUCAAACCAGUUUGAUCGACAAUUAGAAAUGAAUCUCCGUUGACACCGGAGCGCAACAGGACGCCCCUCCCUCCCAGCCUGAGAGCUCACCUCACAUGGGUAUGGCAAGCAAAAGAGGUCAUUGAUCGCCAGGAAACGCUCCGUAAAAAGCGGCGUAUUGACCACCGGGCCGGAUCUCGCCAGGCCUUGUUGGGGGCGUAAACAAAAAAUCUUGGGGGGCAAAUUUAGGUAUAAUGAGUGGUUGGGGUGUAAAAUCCUCCCCAAACCCUAAAAUGCACAAAACAAACAAACAAGAAAAAAAAAAAUAAUUUGUUAACUGCUAUACCCUUGUCUCCUGUGAUCCACUUGAUUUGUCUUAAAUGUUUUAUAUAGGAUGCCAUUCCUGACAUACCCUCUGAAUUUACCUGGGCUUGCCACUGGCAAAAAUGUGACUGGCUUUUGCCCUGUUGAGGUUACAUUCAUUAAAAUAAAUGUAUUUAGUUUUCA